AGUUUGUAGUAAUUUGUUAUACAGCAGUAGACAAGAAAGAUAGCUGUACACUAAAGUGUUGAUGGUGGGGAUACCUGGGAGGUGACAGUGUGAUAUUUUUAUUUUAACAUUUUUGAUGGUCUAUAUUUGCUAAUGUUCUAGAACAGUGUGCUUGUUCUUCCAUUAUAUUAAAAGGAUCUUUUUUUUUUUUUUUUUUUGAGACAGAGUCUUACUCUAUCCCCCAGGCUGGAGUGCAGUGGUGCCAUCUUGGCUCAAUGCAACCUCCGCAUCCUGGGUUCAAGUGAUGCUCAUGCCUCAGCCUCCCGAGUAACUGGGAUUACAGGCCCCCGCCACCAUGCCUGGCUAAUUUUUGUAUUUUUAGUAGAGACGGGGAUUCACUAUGUUGUCCAGGCUGAUCUCGAACUCCUGACCUCAGGUUAUCCCCGGGCCUUGGCUUCCCAAAGUUCUGGGAUUACAGGAGUAAGCCACCAUGCCAGGCCUCUUUUUUUUUUUUUUUCCAGACGGGGUCCCACUCUGUCACCCAGGCUGGAAUGCAGUGACAUGAUCACGGCUCACUGUAGCCUCGAACGCCCAGGCCCAAACGAUUCUCCCACCUCAGCCUCCUGAGUAGCUGGGAACACAGGCGUGUGUAUUACACCUGGCUAAUUUUUAAAUUUUUUGUAGAGAUGAAGGUCUUGUUAUGUUGCUUAGGCUGGUCUCGAAUUCCUGGGUUCAAGUGAUCCUCCUGUCUCAGCCUCUCAAAGUGCUGGGAUUACAGGCGUGAGCCACUGUGCCUGGCCUGAAAACGAGAUUUUUUUUUUUUGAGACGGAGUCUUGCACUGUUGCCCAGGCUGGAGUGCAGUGGUGCAAUCUUGGCUCACUGCAAGCUCUGCCUCCCAGGUUCACGCCAUUCUCCUGCCUCAGCCUCCCAAGUAGCUGGGACUACAGGCGCCCGCCACCACACCCGGCUAAUUUUUUUUUUUGUAUUUUUAGUAGAGAUGGGGUUUCACCGUGUUAGCCAGGAUGGUCUUGAUCUCCUGACCUCGUGAUCUGCCCACCUCCCAAAGUACUGGGAUUACAGGCAUGAGCCAGGGCGCCCAGCCUAAAAAGGAGAUUUUUAAAAAUCCUUUCAGAAAACUAGGUGGAAAGCCCUCCCCUUCAUCUCCUCCCUUUCUCCUGAGACAACCUACCAUGGGUUCUUCUUUACCUCCUCCAUGAUAUUUGCUGUAUCUGUAUCACAUAUGUUAUUAUUAACAUAAUACUUUUUAUAAUCGUCUUUUUCUCUUAAAAAGGAAGAACCCUAAAUACUUUAGCCUCUUCCUGAGCAGUAAUAUUCGUGAAGUUAUGGGUUAGCUGUGCCAUUUGUUCCUCCUAGCACAUCAAAAUACAUAACUAUAAUUAUUAAAAAAUACGAGUCCGCCAGGAGUGGUGGCUCACGCCUAUAAUCCCAGCACUUUGGGAGGCCACGGCAGGUGGAUCACGUGAGGUCAAGAGUUCGAGACCAGCCUGACCAACAUGGUGAAAACCUUUCUCUACUAAAAAUACAAAAAUUAGCUGGGCAUGGUGGUGCAUACCUGUGAUCCCAGCUACUCGGGAGGCUGAGGCACGAGAAUUGCUUGAACCCGGGAGGCGGAGAUUGCAGUGAGCGGAGAUUGCACCACUGCACUCCAGCCUGGGUGACAGAGCCAGACUCCAUCUCAAAAAAAAAAAAAAAAAAAAAAAAAAGGUCUAUCCCCAGCAAGGUCGCCCGCCACACAAACAUAUAUAUAUAUAUAUAUAUAUAUAUAUAUAUACACAAACACAUAGACACACAUGGGUCCGUGUACCUCCAUCGGUAUACAAAACAGGCUCUGGGAAUGGCUGAUCUCAUAUAAUCCUUUUGAUGCUUUGGUUUCAGUUGAAAACAAAAGCCUGGGAGGGAGGGUUGGCUCCUGAGUGCCUGAGAACAUCAGAUGCGGCCCUGCCCAUAAAGCCCAAAGGCAGGGGAACACGGAGGCUUGGCUACUGCCUAGGGCCAUGGAGGGGAAAGGACCCUACAACAGGAGGAGGUAAAGCCCAGAUUUGUGUUUCUGUAAACUGCCCUGCCCAUGGGUGGGUGGCAGAGCUGGGGUUCAGCCCAGCCCAUCUGAUUCCUCAGCUUGGGUUCAUGCCACUUUGCCUCCCAAGGAAAAGACCAGAAGGAAUUGGGCAUGAACUCAAAGACCAGGGGAUGAAACAAGUGUGUGUGUGUGUGUGUGUGUGUGUGUGUGUGUUUAUGUGUGUGUGUGUGUUUUACCUGAAGGAAGGAGGAAGCAACAAGAAAAAAAAAGUCAGAAAUUUGGGUUUUCAUAUUCCUUGGCCUCAUGGGAAAUUCAUACUAGAGCUUUCCUGGUCAAAGUACCCACCAACUGGCCUGUUACUUUAUCUUUGAAAUGAGAAUAAUGAAGGUAGGUUUUGUAGAAUGCUAGUAGUGAAGUUAAAAACACUUCUUGCUAAAAUCAUAUUUAUGACUACAUUCGUGGUUCUGAGAAUCUGGAUAUGGAGAAUGACUGGUCACUGAGGUCCUCCCUUUUGUCCUCACCCCUUACAGUCUGUUCUGGAAACAACAGCCAGAGGUAUCCCCUGAAACCCGAGUCAGAUCCUGUCCCUUUUGGCACACAAUUCUCCAGAGCCUUCCUGUGUUAUAUGAGUGAAAGUCAAGGGUGUUAGGAAGGCCCUGGCUGGUCUGGUUCCUGCCCCCUCCCUUCUCUGAGCUCAAGGCCACUCACCUCCCCUCCCUUCCUCCCUUUCAGCCACAUGGGCUGCUUUGCCGUUCCUGGAAUACACUGAGCUCACUCCUCCCUCAGGGCCUUUGCACUGGCUAUUCCCUCUGCUGUUAUGCGGUUCCCUGGCCUGCUCUUUCUGUAUUGUCUGCAGGGCUCCUUCCUGCACUGCUCAAGGUCUUUGUUGAAGUGUCAACUUCUCAGCAAGUAAGUCCCUGGUCACGCUUUUGAAAACUGCAUCCUUUCCCCAAACCCCAGCUCCUAUAUUCCCUGUCUCCUUUUCUCCUUCCCACUCACUACCAUAAAACUACAUGUUUGGCUUAUUUGUUUGCUACCUUUCUUUCCCACAAAAAUGUAAGCUCUUGACUGCAGGGAUUUUUUUUUUUUUAAAUCUGUUUUGUUCACCACAGUUUCCCAGGGCCCACAACAGCGAGUGACAUACAGCAAGUGCUGGGUGAUUAUUCGUUGCAUAACGAAUGACUGAGCCAGCGAAUGACGGGUUGGAAGGAUUAAAUGAGACCAUGCGUGCGAGGCACAGAGUGGGGGCACAGUGGCCUGAUUUUCUGAGGGUAUGGCCUCGGGCUCAUGCCUGCCUUGGCCCAAGGAUCCCCUUUCUCUCCCAGGACCCCUUGUGGUUUGAACGCCAGUGGCCAUGCUGUCAGAGCAGCCCUCAGUUGGCCAGGCUUUUGCUGGAUUUUCAAUAAGUGAUUUCCCUCCAUGGACAGAGCAAGAAUCACUUAAAAUCAUUCAUGAGAAACUCAUGGCUGUGAUUUCUGCAGGCGGCUUUGCAGGCCAUGAGAGCCUGCGAGGGUUUGUGGGGUGAGCAAGGGGAGGUGACAAACAGAGAGCGAAAAACAUUCAGCCUGCUUCUCUGUGGCCUCCCGCCUCCUCUUUUUUCCUGAGACUUGGGUCAGAAUAACUGUUUUGGGCAGGAAAAGCUGCUAGGGUGAACGCCGAGGCCCAGCCAUGCUCCAGUCUUGGACUUUAGCCCCCACAGUAGGGGAUGUGGUUGUGGCAGACCCAGCUCCCCACUGCCCCGCUCUGUCUUCCCAGGCUGGGAAGCUGCUCCCUUAAGCCUCAUCCUGGAGCUUGGUUGCCUUGGUUCCCUAGCUACAUGGUUGUGGGGUGGCCCCUAGGGUUCAUUU
RNAcentral lists this long non-coding RNA (3865 nucleotides) under Homo sapiens (human). RNAcentral describes it as "non-protein coding lnc-BCOR-6:1". Lineage: Eukaryota; Metazoa; Chordata; Mammalia; Primates; Hominidae. The record is from RNAcentral.